AGAAUCAACGCUGGCGGCGUGCCUAACACAUGCAAGUCGAACGAGAAAGUGGAGCAAUCCAUGAGUACAGUGGCGUACGGGUGAGUAACACGUGACUAACCUACCCUCGAGUGGGGAAUAACCUCGGGAAACCGGGCUAAUACCGCAUAAUAUCUUCGGAUCAAAUGCGUAAGCAGCUUGAGGAGGGGGUCGCGGCCGAUUAGCUAGUUGGCGGGGUAAUGGCCCACCAAGGCAAUGAUCGGUAGCCGGCCUGAGAGGGCGCACGGCCACACUGGAACUGAAACACGGUCCAGACUCCUACGGGAGGCAGCAGUGGGGAAUUUUGCGCAAUGGGGGAAACCCUGACGCAGCAACGCCGCGUGGAGGAUGAAGCCCCUUGGGGUGUAAACUCCUUUCGAUCGGGACGAUUAUGACGGUACCGGAUGAAGAAGCACCGGCUAACUCUGCGCCAGCAGCCGC
RNAcentral lists this ribosomal RNA (459 nucleotides) under uncultured bacterium. Its description in RNAcentral is "SSU rRNA". It matches the Rfam family "Bacterial small subunit ribosomal RNA", at positions 26 to 518 of the family's 1533-position model. The record is from RNAcentral.